RNAcentral lists this small RNA (26 nucleotides) under Arabidopsis thaliana (thale cress). RNAcentral's name for it is "ATSL069140". Lineage: Eukaryota; Viridiplantae; Streptophyta; Magnoliopsida; Brassicales; Brassicaceae. The record is from RNAcentral.
UCUCUGUCUCUGUCUCUUCCUCUUUU